GUCUACAGCCACACCACCCCGAAUGCAUCCAGCUUGUGUGAUCUCGGAAGCUAAGUAGGGUCGCCACCGGCUAGUACUUGGAUGGGAGAGUAAUAAGAGGGCAAUGCAGUCA
RNAcentral lists this ribosomal RNA (112 nucleotides) under Jaculus jaculus (lesser Egyptian jerboa). The record is from RNAcentral. Lineage: Eukaryota; Metazoa; Chordata; Mammalia; Rodentia; Dipodidae.